This 281-nucleotide long non-coding RNA is filed under the name Carica papaya (papaya). Its description in RNAcentral is "long non-coding RNA (CPAP_LNC014825)". The record is from RNAcentral. Lineage: Eukaryota; Viridiplantae; Streptophyta; Magnoliopsida; Brassicales; Caricaceae.
CGCUUCUACUCCAAGAGGACUUAUCUUAUGAGGAAGUACCAGUUGGUAUCACGGACCGAAAGAGUAGGAUACUCCGCAACUGGAAAAUGUCAUUUGUAAAGGUAGUGUGGCAGAACCACAAAAAAGGAAGUUUCCUGGGAGCUAGAAUCUGACUUUAGAACCCAGUAUCUCCAUUUGUUCGAACAAGAGUAAGAGACAAAUUUGGAGGAUCCAAUUUCUUUAGGGGGGGAGAGAGUUGUAACAACCCAAAAAAAAAAAGAAGUAAUUAUUUAUUAAUUAAU